AUUGAACGCUGGCGGCAUGCCUUACACAUGCAAGUCGAACGGCAGCACGGGAGCAAUCCUGGUGGCGAGUGGCGAACGGGUGAGUAAAGCAUCGGAACGUGCCCAGUCGUGGGGGAUAACGUAGCGAAAGUUACGCUAAUACCGCAUACGAUCUAUGGAUGAAAGCGGGGGAUCGCAAGACCUCGCGCGAUUGGAGCGGCCGGUAUCAGAUUAGGUAGUUGGUGGGGUAAAGGCUCACCAAGCCGACGAUCUGUAGCUGGUCUGAGAGGACGACCAGCCACACUGGGACUGAGACACGGCCCAGACUCCUACGGGAGGCAGCAGUGGGGAAUUUUGGACAAUGGGCGAAAGCCUGAUCCAGCCAUGCCGCGUGCAGGAUGAAGGCCUUCGGGUUGUAAACUGCUUUUGUACGGAACGAAAAGGUUUGGCCUAAUAAGCUGAGCUCAUGACGGUACCGUAAGAAUAAGCACCGGCUAACUACGUGCCAGCAGCCGCGGUAA
RNAcentral lists this ribosomal RNA (500 nucleotides) under uncultured bacterium. Its description in RNAcentral is "partial 16S ribosomal RNA". It matches the Rfam family "Bacterial small subunit ribosomal RNA", at positions 30 to 523 of the family's 1533-position model. The record is from RNAcentral.